This 6387-nucleotide long non-coding RNA is filed under the name Sus scrofa (pig). Its description in RNAcentral is "lncRNA (ENSSSCG00035049474.1)". Lineage: Eukaryota; Metazoa; Chordata; Mammalia; Artiodactyla; Suidae. The record is from RNAcentral.
GAAGCACAAAGAGGUUAAGAUCUUGUCCAAGAAUGGAAAUGGCCAAGCUGGGAUUCCCAACCAAAUAGUUUGGUGUCAUUUCAUAGAUGCUUAGCCAACACUUUGUACUUUCUUCAACCAGCAAAUGACAAGGAGGAAACCUCGGGAACACAGACACUUGGAGGGUAUGUUGAGGAAGAGAGACCAAUGAAGACCCCAGAGGAUAACCCAGAAAUGCAAAGGAGGAGAGGGAUUUAGGACAGGAAUUGCCCACUGUGUCAAACACUGUAGUGAAGUCCCAGAUGCCUGUGUAUAGAGUCAAGGGCCAGAGAGCACUUUUCUUCGCGGUGAUGGGAAAGGAAGCUGGACUACAGGAGGUUCUGGAGGCAAUAGGAGUGAAGGGACAAGAGCAGUCAGAGCAGAUGCCUCUUCUCAAGAGGAGAGAAAAGAGGAAACGACUUGACUGGUAACAGGAUGGAGGAGAUUUAUGGCAUUUGCAAAAGCAGGAGUUGUUCUGGCCCAGAUUCUGCCUUGGCUCAGAUGAAGAAGCUAAAGUCUGCAAAGGGGAUCAUAGCCUCACCACCAAGCUUGUCUGAAUGAACUUUAGGUUAACAUAACACAUCGGGUCAAGGUCAGGAACAGGAACUCCAGAAGGUUGAAGGAAUUCUGAAGGCUCCACUAAGACAGCCUCUACCAGAAUGAAGAUCUUGAGUGUCUCAGUCAGGAGGAAUCAUGGACACCAGCACGAACAAAGGACAUCAUGACUUUGAAGGCAAGCUCACCUAUAGCUGCCUAAAUGGUGGAGUCUGAGAACCCAGAGUUAGCACAUGUGGUUGGGGGACAUCCUGGUAUCCUUCAAGAUAGAACCCCUUUCUUAAGAUGAACCACAUGUUCUUCUAAGACUCAUAUUAUUCCAUGCUUUGGAGUUAUUACGCUUGUUUCCCCCUCACUGAAGUAAUAUCUCAAAGAUUUCGUGCUGAGCCAGGUGGAAACUGGAGGUUACUGGUUUUCAGGGUCCAGAAUGGCAGGGGCAGCAGUCAAGCCAGAUGGACAUGCAGAGAGCCAAAGACACAACUCAUAAUAACCUAUAAGGGAAAAAAAUCUGAAAAGGAAAACUGAAUCACUGUGCUAAAACUUGAAACUAACAUAACAUGAUUAGCCACCCUCCUUCCUAUGAAGUUGAAUGUAGUAUGUGUGAUAUGAAGAAAUUAAUCAGAAUCAUCUCCUCUUUAACAAGCCUCUUGCUAUAAAGUGUGGGACCACUGGCAAUAAAUGUGGUAUAUAUACACACAAUGGAAUACUACUCACCCAUAAAAAGGAACAAAAUAAUGCCAUUUGCAGCAACGUGGAUGUAACUAGAGACUCUCAUACUAAGGGAAGUAAGUCAGAAAGAGAAAGACAAGUACCAUAUGAUAUCACUUAUAUCUGGAAUCGAAUAUAUGGCACAAAUGAAUAUUUCCACAGAAAAGAAAAUCAUGGACAUGGAGAACAGACUUGUGGUUGCCAAAAGGGAGGGGGAGGGAGUGGGAUGGACUGGGAAUUUGGGGUUAAUAGAUGCAAACUAUUGCCAUUGGAAUGGAUAAGCAAUGAGAUCCUGCUGUGUCUCACUGGGAACUUUAGUCACUUAUGAUGGAGCAUGAUAAUGUGAGAAAAAAGAAUGUAUACAUGUAUGUAUGACUGGGUCAACUUGCUGUACAAUAGAAAAUUGACAGACUGCUGUAAACCAGCUAUAAUGGUACACCUGAAAAUUAAAAAAAAUAUAUCUUUUUGUUUCUUUGAAAAGUAUUUUUCCAUCAUUUUUGAAAUACAGAACAAUAGGUUAGUGAAUAUUUCCUUUCAGACCUUGGUCUUGUUUUACCUUCUGUUGCUUGAGUAUCUUACUAUUUCUUCUAUGAAGCUAAUGAAUCUUCUUUUCCUCUGGCUGCAUUUAUGAUUUUCAUUUUGACUUUGGUUACAGCAAUUUUACUAUAACAUAUUCAAAUGGAGAUUUCUUUGUAUUUACUCUGCUAUGGUUUUCAGAACCUCUUGAAUUUGAUCUUGAGGUCUUUCAUUAGACCUUGUGAAAUUCUUAGCCUGUAACUCUCCAAAUAUUUCUUAUGCCCCUCCUUUUUUUUUUUCCUCUCUCUCUCUCUCUUUUUUUUCCCAAGACCACAACCUGCAUAUUUAGACAUUUUGGCAUGCCCCAUUUUUUUUCCUUCAUAUAUUUAUCUUUGUAAUUCAAUCUACAUAUUUUCUGCUGCAUAUUUUAGUUCACUAUUACUCAGUUCUAUUACAACAAAACUUCUGCUGAACCCAUCUAUUGGAAUUAUUUCAGCACUAAAAUUUCCAUUUUACUUUUUUAUAAGUUCCAGUUCUCUAAUGAAAUUUUUUAUUUAUUUUCUUGAACAUGUGAGCUAUAUUUUCUUUAAAGUAUCUGUCUGUUAAUGCAAAUACUGGUAUAUUUGGAGUUUUUUGUUUUUUGGUUUUUUUACAUUAUAGUUCUGUUUCUUUCUUCUUCUUCUUUCUCUUGAUUUUCAGCCAUAUGGCCUUUUUUUUUUCCUGUCAAGUUUAGUUAGUUUUAUUGUAUAUUUUUAAAAUAUAGAGGCUUUGGAUGAUUUAUAUUCCUCCAGACAGAAUUUAAUUUUCUUCUGACAGACCACCUUGGGAAGACCACCUUGAUUUAAUCAGGAAUUAAGAGGACUUCAGGUUGUGUUUCAGGCUUUUUUGGCCUUCUUCCAGUUUGUACUCAUUCCUAGGAGGAGCCAUCCAUGGGUCUCAACUAAAUGUCUGUGUUGUUUCCAAGAUCCCUCUCCCAUGGCAGACCUUAAAAUUCUCUCUUAUAUUCUCUCUCUUUUUCCCUGAGAUUAAGUUUUAUAAUGUUUUUAACAUCUGUUUGGUCCCUCAGCCUCUUAGGAAUUGGUAUAUGUCUCUAGAAAAAACUUCGUGCAGAAUGUCAGGCUCACAUUCCUCUGAUACCCUUGUGUUUCGAAUUUUAGACCCUCAAAUCCACUCAUUCCAGAAUGAACGUUCAAAAUGUGGAUCAAAUUAAUAACAAGUAUAACCCAGUCCUGACAUACAUCAGUCCAAUGAACCAGUCUAAAGAAAUAGAGUGCCAAGUAGUUCAGUGGAAGGAAUUUAGUAUGAGAACCAGUUGACAAAGCUAUUGGAAACAUUACAAAGCCAAAUAAGGGAUGGGAAAGCAAUCCAGCAAUUCUCAUCAACAGAAAGCAGCUUCUGCUUUUAGGACAGAGAACAAUGUGUUAAGGUAUUUACAGAGUCCAGGAGCCAUGUCUAUCAGGUAGACACCCUGAGAGAGGUUGUCUAUCAGAGGUUAUCAGAACGGAGGCUUCCCACAAGAGUGAGGACCACAUGGGAGACAGAGCUAGUGCCAAGAAGAGAGGAAGAGGUAUGAUUCUCCUUUUCCACUGCCUGCCACUCAAUUGCCAAUGUUUCCUUUUGGAUGAACCUAACUGAUAGUUGGGAAAAGUGCCUGAGAAAUGUAGGAUCAGUCAUCUUUGUGUAGAACAGAACACUUAAUGCAUCAAAUUGCAAAAGGCAAAUGGCUCUCUCCUUUCUGAGAGCCAAUUGCAGAGAAACUAGUAGAAAUACACGUCUUCCAGGUACCAUUACCUUCAUUGACAGAUUAGAAGUAGUCUUAGAUUAGACAUAAGAUGAGGGAAGUUUUUAAAACUGGCUUUCUGAUUCAAAGAUUUUCCUAAACACAUAUCAAACAAUUCUGGAAGAGGUCAGUCAUUUCAGCACCAGCCAAUUUAGUGGGUCUUGGCCAAGAAAUUUUAAAAUAGAAUGGAAUGGGAUAGUAUAGAAUAGAACAUCACAACACAUAGGGACUUUGAGAGAAAGUAUUUGUUCAAAAGUUUUAAAACUCAGCCAUCUAGGUGAGUUAUUUAAAGUUGGUUUCAUUUUACUGAAGAGGAAGCAGACAAGGAUAAUUUCAUUUAAGAAUAGCAAGUCAAGACCUUUCAAAGAACAGAGAAAGAGGAAAGGAGAUUAAAUGCUCUUGGAAAAAACUCUAAAGUGGCAAGUGAAAUGCAAAUUUUAAAUAUUCCCCAGCUAGUCAAUAAAUCCUUACAAAUGGGUGGAUUGUUCAUCAGAAUUGAAAUAAGCCCUUGAACUUUGAUUUUCAUUAGUUUGGGUACCUGCUGUUUAAAGAAUCUUUAAAUUUAGACCAUCACCUGUGUUGUGAAACAUUUGACAGUAGAAACAAAUUACCUCCUUGUGGACUGAUCUCCUGUUUCCUUCAUUUUUCUCAGCUAUUCAAAGUGAAGAUAACAAUGACCCCCUCACUAGGUCUUCAUCAAGUGUUUUUGGCUGAGACAAGUGUCUCUAGUCAAAAAAAGGAUUUAAUUUAUGGGAAGGCAAUUUUUAGUUGUUUUGAUUAGGCAAUUUCUGAGACAAAAGGACCAGGUAUUGAAUCUGAGUGGAGCCAGCUGUGUUCCCUUUAUUAGCUGCUGAGGUGUUAGGAAAGGAAUUCAGGAGAGCUGAUGACCCUGCAGGUGGGAGAUCGGUGGGCAAGGAGGACAGAGAGAUCUCUUUUCAGCCAAAAUUGUGAUUGCUUGUAUUAAUAACAGGAUGGGUUCAUUUUGAUAUUUUACUACGAAUGAAAGAUUUGUCAGUCAAGAUCAUUUGAGUUGCAAGAAAGGGAAGAGUCAACAUGUUCAUAAAGAGGGUAUAGUGACCUUCAGUUCUGAAGAGCUCAGAGGUGGGGCUGGUGUCAAAACAGCUGGAUUGGAAGGUUUGACAAUCCAGCAGGACCUAGUUUCUCCCACUCUAUUUAUUUGCAGGGAUUUCCACCUCCCGGCUUUCAUGUUCAGAAAUUGGUGAGCCUCAGCGUCACAAAAAUUUUAAAGCAGUUUUGGAACCUAUAUUAUCUCCUGGUCUCAGCUAGUGGAGGGGAAAAAGCAAGAAUUUUUUUCCCCAAAGAUUGCUGCAAAAUUUUUUGUAUCUCAUUGAAUUUGAACAAUAUAUCCUUGAAUCAGUCAUUGCAUUCUGACGACUAGCUUUAACUUAGAUCACGUCCUCUUCCUCCACAAAGGUCUAGGCAAAACAUGGGGGUUGUGAAUGGAGGAAAGAGAGUCCUUCAGAGGGAAAUGAAAGUAUUUAACUUUUAAAAGAGAAGAAGGAAUGAAAGGUGGUCAGACACACCCGUGACAAAAGCAAAUAUCCUUUUCACAUGGUGGCCAAGUCCACUGAGCCAUGGCAUAAUGUCUUCCUAAUAUGAAAUGCAUUUUUGUUUAUUUGUUUUUCCCAUUCUCUUUUCUUGUUACAUUUUUGAAAAGUGUGGAGAAUGUUCCUGAGAGCAGUCUUUUGCUUGAGGAGAGGGGAAUAAAAGCCUUACUACAUGCUGCAAGCUACCAUGAUUUCUUUUUUAAAAAGUUAAUUUGCUCUGUUUAAGACAUACAAAUAGAUAUUAAAGCAAUAUACUGAAUACUUGUGCAUUUGCAUCCCUGAUAAGGAACAAAAUAUUGUCAGUAGAACUAAAUACACUUUUGAACCUCUCCCCAAUUCUCUCCUUUCCUUUCCCAGAAAAAACACUGUCAUGAAUUUAGUAGUUUUUAUUCCUAUAUCUUUAUUCAUAUAUUAACUAAAAAUUUUUAUGAAUCUUCAAGCAACAUGUAGAUUGUUUUGCAUAAUGUAAAUUCAUGAAAUGUAUAACAAAAUGUAUAUAUUUCAUAUACAUGCAGUCAUGUUCAUUACAACUUUUUUCUUUUCUCAGUUAUGUCUGAUAUAUGCAGCUCUAGCUCUUUCAUUUCUCUAUUGUGUUGUAUUCCUUUUUUUGGUAUUUGAAUAUAUCACAACUGAAUUAUCUAUUCUCCAGGUGAUAGACAUUUGUACUGGUUCCAGAUCUUACUAUUAGGAACAAUGUUGUAUGAGUGUUUUCUACAUGUUUGCUGGCAUAGAUGUUCAAAAUACCUCAAUGUUAUAUACCAAUGAGUUGAAUGGCCAGGUUAGGAAAUAUGGGUAACUUCAACAUUACUGGUUGUUGUUAAAUUGUUUUUCAAGGAAAUUGUACCAAUUUACAUAUUCACCAGCAAAGUCUAAGUAUCCCUGUGUCAGCCCUACCAACACGCUAUCAUCACAUGUUUGCAUUUUUACUGACCUGAUUAGUGUGAAAUUUGUGAUUUUAGUUUGAAUAUCCAUGAUUACUAAUGAUGGAACAUUUUGACAUAUCUUUGCUGACUAUUCAGAUUUCUUCUGGGAAUUUUCUGUUUACCUUUUUGGCUGAGCCUCCCUCUCCAUCCCAUCCCCUGCUUAUUUGAUUUCUUAGUGCUUUGGAGAAUUUUGUAUAUAUUCUGAACAUCAUUUCUUCUAUUGCGGAGAGGAGUUUAUAUAUAUUUCACACAGCCUUCUUCCAGAAUUUGCAUUGCCAUUUUAUGUGUAUUUCUUAAUAAACAGAACACUUAAUUAUGC